UUCUGGUUGAUCCUGCCGGACCUGACUGCUAUCGGAUUGAUACUAAGCCAUGCGAGUCAUUGUAGCAAUACAAGGCAUACGGCUCAGUAACGCGUAGUCAACCUAACCUAUGGACGGGAAUAACCUCGGGAAACUGAGAAUAAUGCCCGAUAGAACAUUAUACCUGGAAUGGUUUAUGUUCCAAAUGAUUUAUCGCCGUAGGAUGGGACUGCGGCCUAUCAGUUUGUUGGUGAGGUAAUGGCCCACCAAGACUAUUACAGGUACGGGCUCUGAGAGGAGUAGCCCGGAGAUGGGUACUGAGACACGGACCCAGGCCCUAUGGGGCGCAGCAGGCGAGAAAACUUUGCAAUGUGCGAAAGCACGACAAGGUUAAUCCGAGUGAUUUCUGCUAAAGAAAUCUUUUGUUAGUCCUAGAAACACUAACGAAUAAGGGGUGGGCAAGUUCUGGUGUCAGCCGCCGCGGUAAAACCAGCACCUCAAGUGGUCAGGAUGAUUAUUGGGCCUAAAGCAUCCGUAGCCGGCUCUGUAAGUUUUCGGUUAAAUCUGUACGCUCAACGUACAGGCCGCCGGGAAUACUGCAAAGCUAGGGAGUGGGAGAAGUAGACGGUACUCGGUAGGAAGUGGUAAAAUGCUUUGAUCUAUCGAUGACCACCUGUGGCGAAGGCGGUCUACUAGAACACGUCCGACGGUGAGGGAUGAAAGCUGGGGGAGCAAACCGGAUUAGAUACCCGGGUAGUCCCAGCUGUAAACUAUGCAAACUCAGUGAUGCAUUGGCUUGUGGCCAAUGCAGUGCUGCAGGGAAGCCGUUAAGUUUGCCGCCUGGGAAGUACGUACGCAAGUAUGAAACUUAAAGGAAUUGGCGGGGGAGCACCACAAGGGGUGAAGCCUGCGGUUCAAUUGGAUUCAACGCCGGG
Molecule: ribosomal RNA, 914 nt
Filed under: uncultured archaeon
Lineage: Archaea
Description: bacterial SSU rRNA
Rfam family: Archaeal small subunit ribosomal RNA
Source: RNAcentral